Molecule: long non-coding RNA, 1366 nt
Filed under: Piliocolobus tephrosceles (Ugandan red Colobus)
Lineage: Eukaryota; Metazoa; Chordata; Mammalia; Primates; Cercopithecidae
Description: lncRNA (ENSPTEG00000020861.1)
Source: RNAcentral
ACCUGGCACAGCUCCAUGACUCGCUGGCGACAGGCUCGCCUUGCCUCGACUCCUCCCUGUCCUUCCUUCCUCUUUGAAAGGCACGUCGGAGUCCAGUCCUCCUCAAAGUGUGGCCCAAUCUGCAUCCCCUGGGCGGGCACUGUCAGAGCCAGACUCUAGGCCCAGCCCUGUGCUCAGGCAAGUCCCAGAGGGAUGUGCAGCUGAGAGGCCGACAGACACAUCUCUUAGGGGUUUUGAGAGCCCAUGGCCGUCCCUCGCGGAGAACAAGCCUUCAACCCAGGCAGGAAGCCCGUCUGAGACUCUGCGUGCUGGGUCCAAAUGCCUGUGCUAUGGCGUCUCAUCACAGACACUAGUGCACCUGCUGGUGGUGCAGGUGCCGUGGCCAGCCUGGAAGGAGCCGCCCUGGGAACAAGAUACUUCUGAGGAUGCCUGGAGGCCUCUUUCUUCCUGGCCCCUGGCUGGCCUCCCCCUUAGAUGACGGUGCCAGAGGAGGGGAAGUGCAGUGCAAUGGACACAGAUGGUGGUCCAGAAUUCCAUAUCAGGAAACAAAAAGGAGAUGCACACCUGUGGCAAAGGCCCCUGCCCCACCCCUGUCCAGACAGACAGCCAUCAGCGUGGGANNNNNNNNNNACAGACAGCCAUCAGCGUGGGACAGAGACCCGGAGAGGCCCCUGCCCAGACAGCCAGCCAUCAGCGUGGGACAGAGACCCGGGAGGGGCUCCCUUGCCACCUACGUCCACACUUUGUGAGCCUGCAGUGCUGGGCAGGGUGCUGUGGACAGGGUCUGACCCCAGAACCCCUGGCAAGGAAACGCAGCGGCAGCAUCUCCCCACAAAGCCUGUGAUGGGCACUGGUGUUGAAGGGUGUGUGGGCCUUGCAAAGGGGCCCCAGCCAGCCCCCCUUGGCGCCGGGGCAGAGCUCUCUGCAAGGUGGGACUUUCUCGUGGCCUCCCAGGGCCACGUUUGGUUUUGAUGCCGUUUUGGGACGGCCGUGUGCCUCACAAUUGUGCUCUGGGCCAGGUUUGUCUUCCUGACCCUUCACAGCAGCCACCGCACUUUAAUCCUGUCCAUCAUGGCAACAUCAAGGCAUGUUCGUCAGGGGGACCUGUGAGCCAGCAGGGCCAAGCAGCUUCCCAGCUGGAGUGCACAGUAGACUGCCAAGCAGACGUCCCCCUAACCCAGAGUGGCCUCUGGAGCCGGCGCUGUCUCGGCAAAACAUGGCCCGCCGAGUUAUGUUCAUGUUGGUUUUUCAUUACAUUUGUUUUAUUUGCGGCUAUUUGGCUUUUUGGCGGAAUACAAGUCAGCAAGAGCUUGUGCCCAGUUUUAUAGCUGUUUGCACAGCGUAAGUGGCCAUUAAAUCAAAACCC